AUGAACGCUGGCGGCGUGUCUAAGGCAUGCAAGUCGAACGGACCUUUGGAGCUUGCUCUAAAGGUUAGUGGCAAACGGGAGAGUAACACAUUGGUAACCUACCCCCAAGACGGGAAUAACCCUCCGAAAGGAGUGCUAAUACCCGAUGUGCUAGACCAACAUAAGUUGGUUUAGUAAAGCUACGACGCUUGGGGAGGGGCCUAUGCCCUAUCAGCUAGUUGGUGUGGUAAAAGCGCACCAAGGCAAUGACGGGUAGUGGGUGUGAGAGCACGACCCACCUCACUGGGACUGAGACACUGCCCAGACUCCUACGGGAGGCUGCAGUCAAGAAUAUUCCCCAAUGCACGAAAGUGUGAGGGAGCGACGCCGCGUGAUUGAAGACGCCCUUCGGGGUGUAAAGAUCUUUUAUUAGGGACGAACAAAUGACGGUACCUAAUGAAUAAGGGGCUGCUAAUCUCGU
RNAcentral lists this ribosomal RNA (460 nucleotides) under uncultured bacterium. Its description in RNAcentral is "bacterial SSU rRNA". It matches the Rfam family "Bacterial small subunit ribosomal RNA", at positions 29 to 506 of the family's 1533-position model. The record is from RNAcentral.